Molecule: transfer RNA, 68 nt
Filed under: Phyllomedusa tomopterna (tiger-striped leaf frog)
Lineage: Eukaryota; Metazoa; Chordata; Amphibia; Anura; Hylidae
Description: tRNA-Val
Source: RNAcentral
CAAAUUGUAGCUUAACUAAAGCCUUCGCUUCACCGAAAAUAUGUCUGUUAAACCCGGACCACUUUGAG